AGCCUUAAGAAAAAUAAUUUAAGGUUAAACCUGCCCAAUGUAUUUUAAUGAAUGGCCGCGGUACUUUGACCGUGCUAAGGUAGCGCAAUCAAUUGGCUUUUAAUUGAAGUCAGGUAUGAAUGGAGUUACGGGGUUAAGCUGUCUCUAAAUUAUUAUAUCGAAUUUACUAUGUAGGUGAAAAAGCCUAUAAAAUGAAAAAGGACGAUAAGACCCUUAGAGUUUAUCUUCAAAGCAGUUUAGUUGGGGCAACACAGGAGCAAAUCUCCACAAAUCGAUUAUUUUAGAUAUGAAUAAACUACCUUAGGGAUAACAGCAUAAUUUUAUAAAUAAGUUUGUGACCUCGAUGUUGGACUAGGAAACUUAAAGGCUAGCCGCCUUUAAGGUAAGUUCUGUUCGAACUAUUAAUUCCU
Molecule: ribosomal RNA, 410 nt
Filed under: Limacia clavigera
Lineage: Eukaryota; Metazoa; Mollusca; Gastropoda; Nudibranchia; Polyceridae
Description: partial 16S ribosomal RNA
Rfam family: Bacterial large subunit ribosomal RNA
Source: RNAcentral